GAGACAAGUGAACAGGCAGAUGGAAAACAGCAUGGUGAGUAAUACAGACGGUGGGAAGAACAGGGUACUAUGGCAUCUGCUGUGGAAAGAAGAUAGAUCUAGGUGAUGGUUAAGUCUAAGACAAAGGAGGAGUAAAAUCAUCAAGGAAAGCAGGAGAGAGGGAAGGAAGUGGAAAGCAGACAAAAAAAAAAAAAAAAAAAACAACAGCAGCUGUAGAAGCCUGAGAAGAAGAGAGAGUCAAGUCCUUAGAGGGACUGAAAGCAGAGACAUAACGGCACAAAACGAGAUGGGAAAGUGACGGAGCAACACGUGAGUCUGUAAUGAGUGUAAUUGAUGCCUUUGUUUUCAAAUGAGAUAUUUCUGGAGUGAUAAAUCUGGAUCUAUGGAUCUUACAUAAGGGAUUUAGGUGGGCAGCAGCACUUGGUUAUUUACAAGUUCAGGAUCCAUUUUAUAAAGUAAGGAAAGAUUGCUAUCUGUCUCCAGCACUAUGGCGAGAUAAUUAAUAGGAGCACUGCUGGAGACUGAUAGUGCAGGCGGCUGAUACCCGUGGCAGGAGCUCUCGUCAUCUAACUGCCACAGAAUUGUGAAGGUAAAGAAUCUGCAGAAAAGCGGAACAUGCAUUUUUACUAAAUAAAUGCAUUAUCUAUAGCACACAUUAUAGAGGUUUGUUGUUGUUGUUGUUAAUCUAGCAUUUAACAGAAAUAAAAGAGAUUGUUUCUAAACCACUUUAAACUGUUCUGGCAACUACCUUAGACCCUUCUGGCGAAGCAUCUCUAAAGAAGACCAUUGACAGCCACUAUCAGUAGCAGCAGCAGUGGGCAUGUGUCCCCGCUUGCCACCCCACAAAAAAGCAAACAAACAAAAAUCAUUCCCAGAUGAAAACUAUGAAAUUGUAAACUAUAAAAGGGAAGAC
Gorilla gorilla gorilla (western lowland gorilla) is the source of this 913-nucleotide long non-coding RNA. RefSeq lists it as uncharacterized. The record is from RefSeq and is a predicted model, not a curated record. NCBI's taxonomy places the organism in Eukaryota, Metazoa, Chordata, Mammalia, Primates, Hominidae. The transcript has 4 exons.